RNAcentral lists this ribosomal RNA (454 nucleotides) under uncultured bacterium. RNAcentral describes it as "partial 16S ribosomal RNA". It matches the Rfam family "Bacterial small subunit ribosomal RNA", at positions 341 to 792 of the family's 1533-position model. The record is from RNAcentral.
ACGGGAGGCAGCAGUGAGGAAUAUUGGUCAAUGGGCGGAAGCCUGAACCAGCCAUGCCGCGUGCAGGAAUAAGGCCCUAUGGGUCGUAAACUGCUUUUGUAGUGGAGCAAUAAGGUCUACGUGUAGACUGAUGAGAGUACAUUACGAAUAAGCAUCGGCUAACUCCGUGCCAGCAGCCGCGGUAAUACGGAGGAUGCAAGCGUUAUCCGGAUUUAUUGGGUUUAAAGGGUGCGUAGGCUGUGCGUCAAGUCAGCGGUGAAAGCCCGGGGCCUAACUCCGGAACUGCCGUUGAUACUGUCGCGCUGGAAUACGGAUGCCGUGGGAGGAAUGAGUAGUGUAGCGGUGAAAUGCAUAGAUAUUACUCAGAACACCGAUUGCGAAGGCAUCUCACGAAUCCGUCAUUGACGCUGAGGCACGAAAGCGUGGGGAUCAAACAGGAUUAGAUACCCUGGUA